RNAcentral lists this ribosomal RNA (222 nucleotides) under uncultured bacterium. RNAcentral's name for it is "partial 16S ribosomal RNA". It matches the Rfam family "Bacterial small subunit ribosomal RNA", at positions 109 to 334 of the family's 1533-position model. The record is from RNAcentral.
AGUAAUGCUUGGGAAUCUAGCUUAUGGAGGGGGAUAACUACGGGAAACUGUAGCUAAUACCGCGUAGAAUCGAGAGAUGAAAGUGUGGGACCUUCGGGCCACAUGCCAUAGGAUGAGCCCAAGUGGGAUUAGGUAGUUGGUGAGGUAAAGGCUCACCAAGCCGACGAUCUCUAGCUGGCCUGAGAGGAUGACCAGCCACACUGGGACUGAGACACGGCCCAG